RNAcentral lists this unclassified non-coding RNA (440 nucleotides) under Nicotiana tabacum (common tobacco). RNAcentral's name for it is "partial external transcribed spacer". The record is from RNAcentral. Lineage: Eukaryota; Viridiplantae; Streptophyta; Magnoliopsida; Solanales; Solanaceae.
AUCGGAAUCACUUAUGGUGGUUGUCACAAUGGAGGUGCGUCAUGGUUAUUGGUGGUUGGUCAUCUAUAUAUUUUUAUAAUAAUAUUAUGUAUUUUACCUAUUUUUUACAUAUUUUUUAUUAAAUUUUAUGCAUUGUUUGUAUUUUUAAAUAGUUUUUAUCGUACUUGUUUUAUAAAAUAUUUAUUAUUUUAUGUGUUAUAUUAUUACUUGAUGUAUUGGAAAUUUUCUCCAUUGUUUUUUCUAUAUUUAUAAUAAUUUUCUUAUUUUUUUGUAUUUUAUUAUGUAUUUUUUCGUUUUAUAAUAAAUAUUUAUUAAAAAAAAUAUUAUUUUUUGUAAAAUAUAUCAUUUACAAUGUUUAAAAGUCAUUUGUGAAUAUAUUAGCUAAGUUGUACUUCGGUUUGUGCAUUUUGGUGUUGUACAUGUCUAUUAUGAUUCUCUGG